GUAGGUGGCAAGCGUUGUCCGGAAUUAUUGGGCGUAAAGCGCGCGCAGGCGGUUCGUUUUAAGUCUGAUGUGAAAGCCCACGGGCUCAACCGUGGAGGGUCAUUGGAAACUGGAGAACUUGAGUACAGAAGAGGAAAGCGGAAUUCCACGUGUAGCGGUGAAAUGCGUAGAGAUGUGGAGGAACACCAGUGGCGAAGGCGGCUUUCCGGUCUGUAACUGACGCUGAGGCGCGAAAGCGUGGGGAGCAAACAGGAUUAGAUACCCUGGUAGUCCACGCCGUAAACGAUGAGUGCUAAGUGGUUACGGGGGGUUUCCGACCCCUUAGUGCUGCAGCUAACGCAUUAAGCACUCCGCCGUGGGGAGUACGGCCGCAAAGGCUG
This 380-nucleotide ribosomal RNA is filed under the name uncultured organism. RNAcentral describes it as "partial 16S ribosomal RNA". It matches the Rfam family "Bacterial small subunit ribosomal RNA", at positions 527 to 896 of the family's 1533-position model. The record is from RNAcentral.